CCUGGAGAUCUUCAAAACCCGUCUGGAUGUGUCAUGGAGAAUGUGCUCUAGAUGGCCCUGCCGGAGCAGAGAUGGAGUUGGACCAGAUGAUCUUCAGAGGUCC
This is a non-coding RNA of Tinamus guttatus (white-throated tinamou), 103 nucleotides long. NCBI's taxonomy places the organism in Eukaryota, Metazoa, Chordata, Aves, Tinamiformes, Tinamidae. The record is from RefSeq and is a predicted model, not a curated record.